This is a long non-coding RNA of Brassica oleracea var. oleracea, 261 nucleotides long. RefSeq lists it as uncharacterized. The transcript has 3 exons. Lineage: Eukaryota; Viridiplantae; Streptophyta; Magnoliopsida; Brassicales; Brassicaceae. The record is from RefSeq and is a predicted model, not a curated record.
CUUAAGAUUUAAGCAAAGAGUCUUAGCUGGAUCGAUAGAUCUCGUUCCAAGGAGGACACAGCAACUUUCGUAUCUCAGUUACGAGAGCCAUAUUGUGGGGCAAUUUCCGGUUGAUACAGAAGGAUCUAGGUGACGGUAUUGUUAUGGUUGGAAAGCUGACAUUCCCAGCUUUCUACAGCCACCACGACCACGCAUUUACGAGUGUCACAUAGGGGUUUUGUGAGAAGAUUUCCCGGUGAACCAGAGAGAGUUAGAACCGGU